GACGAACGCUGGCGGCGUGCUUAACACAUGCAAGUCGAACGGACAGGCCCUGCUUUUGUGGGGUGCUCGAGUGGCGAACGGGUGAGUAACACGUGAGUAACCUGCCCUUGACUUUGGGAUAACUUCAGGAAACUGGGGCUCAUACCGGAUAGGAGCUCCUGCUGCAUGUUGUGGGUUGGAAAGUUUCGGCGGUUGGGGAUGGACUCGCGGCUUAUCAGCUUGUUGGUGGGGUAGUGGCUUACCAAGGCUUUGACGGGUAGCCGGCCUGAGAGGGUGACCGGCGACAUUGGGACUGAGAUACGGCCCAGACUCCUACGGGAGGCAGCAGUGGGGAAUAUUGCACAAUGGGCGGAAGCCUGAUGCAGCAACGCCGCGUGCGGGAUGACGGGCUUCGGGUUGUAAACCGCUUUCGCCUGUGACGAAGCGUGAGUGACGGUAAUGGGUAAAGAAGCACCGGCUAACUACGUG
This 468-nucleotide ribosomal RNA is filed under the name uncultured bacterium. RNAcentral's name for it is "partial 16S ribosomal RNA". It matches the Rfam family "Bacterial small subunit ribosomal RNA", at positions 28 to 507 of the family's 1533-position model. The record is from RNAcentral.